CAGGUUGUUGAAAGUCAUUGCAUUGCAAAAUGUCUGAUGCAAAAUUACUUACAUUUCCUUCAAAGGGGGAGGAAUCUCAUUUACAAAAUGAAGGCAGGAAAGGUUUAUCAAUGGUGCUGGUGCCUUCGCUGCCAAAGGCCGAGGCCACUGCUGGCAAUUUUCGAAGUCAACAACAGAACAUAGUCAGUGGUGUGAAGAAUGAUUUCUUUUUGGUCUGUUCCACCAGACGUCGUAGCUGUGAUUUGGUAAACACUCCACCUUGUAUUAACAAAGCUAAUCUCCUCAUUCAUGAGCUUGAAAGAAAAACUGAAGGCUGGUUUCAACAGGUAUGAUUACAAAUAAGUAAAUAUGGCAGUAUAGUAUUCAUUCAGGACCAAGAACUGCAUUUAUAAUCAGGUUAGGGCAAAAAGGUCAGAUGAAGUGAUUUCUAUUCUGGUUGCACAA
Polyodon spathula (Mississippi paddlefish) is the source of this 444-nucleotide long non-coding RNA. RefSeq lists it as uncharacterized. Lineage: Eukaryota; Metazoa; Chordata; Actinopteri; Acipenseriformes; Polyodontidae. The record is from RefSeq and is a predicted model, not a curated record. The transcript is spliced from 3 exons.